AAUGAACGCUGGCGGCAUGCCUAACACAUGCAAGUCGAACGAGACCUUCGGGUCUAGUGGCGCACGGGUGCGUAACGCGUGGGAACCUGCCCUUAGGUUUGGAAUAACUCCCCGAAAGGGGUGCUAAUACCGGUUAAUGUCUUCGGACCAAAGAUUUAUCGCCUUUGGAUGGGCCCGCGUUGGAUUAGCUAGUUGGUAGGGUAAAAGCCUACCAAGGCGACGAUCCAUAGCUGGUCUGAGAGGAUGAUCAGCCACACUGGGACUGAGACACGGCCCAGACUCCUACGGGAGGCAGCAGUGGGGAAUAUUGGACAAUGGGCGAAAGCAUGAUCCAGCAAUGCCGCGUGAGUGAUGAAGGCCUGAGGGUUGUAAAGCUCUUUUACCCGGGAUGAUAAUGACAGUACCGGGAGAAUAAGCACCGGCUAACUCCGUG
Molecule: ribosomal RNA, 433 nt
Filed under: uncultured bacterium
Lineage: Bacteria
Description: partial 16S ribosomal RNA
Rfam family: Bacterial small subunit ribosomal RNA
Source: RNAcentral